Molecule: ribosomal RNA, 440 nt
Filed under: uncultured bacterium
Lineage: Bacteria
Description: partial 16S ribosomal RNA
Rfam family: Bacterial small subunit ribosomal RNA
Source: RNAcentral
CCUACGGGAGGCAGCAGUAGGGAAUAUUGCUCAAUGGGGGAAACCCUGAAGCAGCAACGCCGCGUGGAGGAUGAAGGUUUUCGGAUUGUAAACUCCUUUUGUUAGAGAAGAUAAUGACGGUAUCUAACGAAUAAGCACCGGCUAAUUCCGUGCCAGCAGCCGCCGUAAUACGGAGGGUGCAAGCGUUACUCGGAAUCACUGGGCGGAAAGUGCGCGUAGGCGGGAUAGCAAGUCAGAUGUGAAAUCCUAUGGCUUAACCAUAGAACUGCAUUUGAAACUGGUAUUCUAGAGUAUGGGAGAGGUAGGUGGAAUUCUAGGUGUAGGGGUAAAAUGCGUAGAGAUAAAGAAGAAUACUCAUGGCGAAGGCGACCUGCUAGAACAUAACUGACGCUGAUGCGCGAAAGCGUGGGGAGCAAACAGGAUUAGAUACCCCGGUAGUC